RNAcentral lists this transfer RNA (69 nucleotides) under Ictidomys tridecemlineatus (thirteen-lined ground squirrel). Its description in RNAcentral is "Spermophilus tridecemlineatus (thirteen-lined ground squirrel) tRNA". It matches the Rfam family "tRNA". Rfam says of the family: Transfer RNA (tRNA) molecules are approximately 80 nucleotides in length. Their secondary structure includes four short double-helical elements and three loops (D, anti-codon, and T loops). The record is from Rfam by way of RNAcentral. Lineage: Eukaryota; Metazoa; Chordata; Mammalia; Rodentia; Sciuridae.
GGAGUUGUGGCUCAAUGGUAGAGCACUUGUCUGGCAUGUUUGAGGCCCUGGGUUUGAUCCUCAGCACCA